UACGUAGGGGGCGAGCGUUGUCCGGAUUUAUUGGGCGUAAAGAGCGUGUAGGCGGCCAGACAAGUCUGCUGUGAAAACUCGAGGCUCAACCUCGAGCUGUCGGUGGAAACUGUCGGGCUAGAGUCCGGAAGAGGCGAGUGGAAUUCCUGGUGUAGCGGUGGAAUGCGCAGAUAUCAGGAGGAACACCGGUGGCGAAGGCGGUUUCCUGGCCGAGUACUGACGCUGAUGCACGAAAGCGUGGGGAGCGAACGGG
Molecule: ribosomal RNA, 253 nt
Filed under: uncultured bacterium
Lineage: Bacteria
Description: partial 16S ribosomal RNA
Rfam family: Bacterial small subunit ribosomal RNA
Source: RNAcentral